Molecule: ribosomal RNA, 183 nt
Filed under: uncultured bacterium
Lineage: Bacteria
Description: partial 16S ribosomal RNA
Rfam family: Bacterial small subunit ribosomal RNA
Source: RNAcentral
UAAUACGGAGGGUGCGAGCGUUGUCCGGAAUCACUGGGCGUAAAGGGCGCGUAGGCGGCGCGGAAAGUCAACGGUGAAAGCUUGGGGCUCAACCCCGAGUCGGCCGUCGAUACUUCUGGGCUAGAGCACUGUAGAGGCAGGUGGAAUUCCGGGUGUAGCGGUGGAAUGCGUAGAGAUCCGGAA